AGCUCCAAUAGCGUAUAUUAAAGUUGUUGCAGUUAAAAAGCUCGUAGUUGGAUUUGUGGCGUACGGUGUGUUCCGGGCACUUGUUGUCUGAGUAACCUGCUGUUGCCAUCCUUGGGUGGAACCUGUGUGGCAUUAGGUUGUCGUGCAGGGGAUGCCCAUCAUUUACUGUGAAAAAAUUAGAGUGUUCAAAGCAGGCUUAUGCCGUUGAAUAUAUUAGCAUGGAAUAAUGAGAUAGGGCUUUUUUGCUAUUUUGUUGGUUUGCGCAAGAAGGUAAUGAUUAAUAGGGACAGUUGGGGGUAUUCGUAUUCCAUUGUCAGAGGUGAAAUUCUUGGAUUUUUGGAAGACGAACUACUGCGAAAGCAUUUACCAAGGAUGUUUUCAUUA
This 384-nucleotide ribosomal RNA is filed under the name Navicula sp. Its description in RNAcentral is "partial small subunit ribosomal RNA". It matches the Rfam family "Eukaryotic small subunit ribosomal RNA", at positions 587 to 975 of the family's 1831-position model. Lineage: Eukaryota; Bacillariophyta; Bacillariophyceae; Naviculales; Naviculaceae. The record is from RNAcentral.